GAGGGAGAGAGGAGGGAUCUUUCUGUUGAUCUUUUUGCCAUCCUAGCUUGGAUUGUGCUUAGGAGUGGCUUGUUACUGGACAUGGUGAAGUAAUCCAAGAAUCAGUUUCGUGCUCAAUUGCUUCUCCUUCUCAAGAUCUGAAAUUUAUCUUUUUUCCCUAUUUUCGGAGCAUUUUUUGGUGAAUUUUUGGAUCUCACGAUUGGUAUCAUUUUGAGGUGUUUUUCUUAGGGCAAAUCGGUGCUAGGACAUGUGCAAGAACAUCUAGGAUGAUCCCCUAGCAAAUCCAAGCAUGAGCACCUUGGAUUUUGAGAUUUCUGGAAAAUCCCCUUCUUGUG
RNAcentral lists this long non-coding RNA (335 nucleotides) under Setaria viridis. RNAcentral's name for it is "long non-coding RNA (SVIR_LNC006858)". Lineage: Eukaryota; Viridiplantae; Streptophyta; Magnoliopsida; Poales; Poaceae. The record is from RNAcentral.